AUGAAUAACAUUCUUUGUACCGGAUCUCCCUCUCUAGUACCUGUCGAACCAAGUCCAAACAAAGAUGGUACUUGAUGUCCCUUCGAAGGCCAUCAGGUAGGUCGCGAAUCAUCUCACACUCGUUUACUCCACGCGUCGCCGCCCAACUUUGGCGCUCGUAGUUUCGAACUCUUUGUCGAAGUAUGUGAGGAAGGUGUUUCCUACUCAUCCACCACUCUAAGUUUCUCAUUUUUAACUGCAUCCCUUGUUUCUUUGAUGUUGU
Molecule: long non-coding RNA, 262 nt
Filed under: Helianthus annuus (common sunflower)
Lineage: Eukaryota; Viridiplantae; Streptophyta; Magnoliopsida; Asterales; Asteraceae
Description: hypothetical non coding rna
Source: RNAcentral